RNAcentral lists this ribosomal RNA (85 nucleotides) under Plebejus anna. RNAcentral's name for it is "partial 5.8S ribosomal RNA". It matches the Rfam family "5.8S ribosomal RNA", at positions 73 to 154 of the family's 154-position model. From Rfam's summary of the family: 5.8S ribosomal RNA (5.8S rRNA) is a component of the large subunit of the eukaryotic ribosome. It is transcribed by RNA polymerase I as part of the 45S precursor that also contains 18S and 28S rRNA. Functionally, it is thought that 5.8S rRNA may be involved in ribosome translocation. Lineage: Eukaryota; Metazoa; Arthropoda; Insecta; Lepidoptera; Lycaenidae. The record is from RNAcentral.
UGCAGGACACAUUUGAACAUCGACAUUUCGAACGCACAUUGCGGUCCGUGGAGAAACAUCCAGGACCACUCCUGUCUGAGGGCCG